Molecule: RNA transcript, 2848 nt
Organism: Carassius carassius (crucian carp)
Lineage: Eukaryota; Metazoa; Chordata; Actinopteri; Cypriniformes; Cyprinidae
Gene: hnrnpul1
Gene name: heterogeneous nuclear ribonucleoprotein U-like 1
Exons: 18
Source: RefSeq, a predicted model, not a curated record
UAGGUGGCAGCACUCAGAAACACUUUGGACAACAUUCAGUAUGUCUUCUGCUGGUCUUUACUGAAGCCUGCGCCAAUUGUCCUUGUUUACUCAAACACUCUCCUUCAGAUAACCAAGAGCUUGUGCUAUGCUUUAGGAGCGGGAGCUUCUCGCUAUGUCAUGCAUGAUGAGUGUGGAUGUGAAGAAACUGAAAGUGAAUGAGCUGAAAGAGGAGUUGCAGAAGCGUGGGCUGGACACCCGAGGCUUCAAAGGGGAUCUGGUGGAGCGGCUGCAGGCGGCUCUGAAGGUGGAAAACGAACCCACCUGCAGUGAUGAGACAGAAGCAGGUAGUGUUGCAGAGGCUGGGAAUGCUGAGGGUUCUGACCAAGGGCAGAUGGCUGCUGAGAAAGAGGGCUCUUAUAUAGACCCCAGUGCUUCUGAAGUCUCUAAAGAUGAAAAUAAACCAGAGAAUGUGAAUGUACAACAGGCAACCGUCGAGACAAUCUGCAAAAAGGUGGCACCAGUAAAUGUAAAAAAUGAGGAUGAGAUAAAGACGGAGCAACAAGGACAGCAGCGACCGGCUCCUGGCAGUGAAUGGGAAGAUCUGGAGAGCCAGCAGAAUGCAGAGAUCAAGACUGAACGGGACAGACAUGCACAUUAUGGCCACAAGAGGCGCUAUGAUGACGGCCAGGGUUUCAGCUAUCAUGAACACCGUGAAGACAGGAGGUCCCGCUCACCUCUGCCAUCUGCUGAAGAGGAUGAGGAAGACUUUGAUGGCACGCUUGUGGUCAUUGACACUUAUAACUGUGACUUGCACUUCAAAGUCUCUGGGGACCGUUGCAGCGGCUGUCCUUUAACCGCUGAGGGGUUUGCUUACCUAUGGUCUGGAGCACGAGCUACGUAUGGUGUAAACAAGGGACGCGUGUGCUAUGAACUGAAGGUUAUGGAGUAUAUACCAGUCAAGCAUCUUCCUGGCAGUGAGCCUGACCCUCAUGUGGUGAGAGUCGGGUGGUCUCUGGAUUCCUGCAGCACACAGCUUGGAGAGGAGGCGUUCUCUUAUGGGUAUGGUGGAACAGGAAAAAAGUCUACCUGUUGCAAAUUUGAAGAUUACAGAGAGAAAUUUGGUGAAAGUGAUGUCAUUGAAUGCUAUGUUGACUUUGACAGUCAUGAGCAAGUGGAAAUAGCUUUCUCAAAGAACGGGAAGUGGCUUGAUGUGGCAUUUCACGUAUCUAAAGAAGAACUGGCAGGUCGUGCACUGUAUCCUCAUGUUCUUGUGAAGAACUGCUCUGUUGAGUUUAACUUUGGCCAGCGAGCAGAACCUUUCUUUCCUUUGCAAGAUGGCUACACUUUGAUUGGGGCCGUCAACUUAGAGAACAGGGUCAGAGGAACUGUUGGUCCCACCAGCAAAUUUGAUUGUGAGAUACUGAUGAUGGUUGGUCUUCCUGCUUGUGGUAAAACCACAUGGGCCACAAAGCAUGCAGAGAUGAACCCAGAGAAGAAAUAUAACAUCCUGGGCACAAAUGCUAUCAUGGAGAAAAUGAAGGUGAUGGGAUUGCGUCGCCAGCGAAACUAUUCUGGGCGCUGGGACAUCCUUAUUCAGCGGGCCACUCAGUGCCUGAACCAAAUGAUCCAGAUUGCUUCCCACAAGAGACGGAACUACAUCUUGGAUCAGACAAAUGUAUAUGGAUCAGCCCAGAGACGGAAAAUGAGUCCUUUUGAAGGGUUUCAGCGCAAGGCUAUAGUAAUUUGUCCCACGGACGAGGAUUUAAAAGAGCGAAUGUUUAAGCAAACUCAUGAGGAAGGGAAGGAUGUGCCUGAUCAUGCUGUUUUAGAAAUGAAAGCCAACUUUGUGCUGCCAGAGGUUGGAGAUUUUCUGGAUGAAGUGACCUUCAUUGAGCUGCAAAGAGAAGAGGCUAUUAAGCUAAUCAAGUGGUACAAUGAGGAGGGCCGGAAGGCUGGGCCUCCGCCUGAGAAACGCUUUGAUAACGGAGGACAACGUAGACGCGAAAGCGGCUUCCAGCUGUACGACAACCACAGAGGGAUGAGAACAGGCCCUGGAGGAAGCUACAGGGGAGCUUAUAAUCAGAACCACUGGGGAGGGAAUCACAGAGACGGGCGAGAUGGAUACAGCAGCAGCCAUCAGUCUGGAGGAAGCUACAAUAGCAACCGCUAUAGCUCCUAUAACAAAGAGGGAUAUAACCAAAGCUAUAAUCAGGGUUACAACCAAGGUUUCCACCAGGGCAACUAUAACCAAGGCUAUAACUACAACCGUUACCCAGAUUAUGGGCAAGGUGACCAUUACAGUCGAGGAUCUGGACGAUCAUAUAACCAGCAGAACUACAAUCAGCAGUAUCAACAGCAGUGGCAGCAGUAUUAUCAGAAUCAGAACCAGUCGAACCAGUACGACGGUCAAUAUGGGAAUUACUCUGGACAGCAGGGAAGCCAGAGCUCACACGGCUCACAGUAAACAGGAAAACAGUUUAAGCCAAAUAUUCAGAUGUGUGCAGCACAUUUUAUGGAGGACUGUUUCCUGAUCCUGGGAGAGAAGACUACAAUGCCGGCUGUUCAGACUCACAGUCUAGCUGCUGUCCCUCUAUCCCUCACACUACUCGGCAGACUUACAUAAUCCGGCUGGCACAUGGAGACUGGGAAUGAUGGGCACAUGAGGCCAGAGACAGGGCUGAGAACCCCGGGAAAGUGGAAUGUGGGAGAUCUAUGACUUUAUGUUGUGACUUGUGAUGUAAGCUGUCCUUCUUUUAACUACCCGGAAGUCAAUAUUUGACCUGACAGAUGUAAAUGUAAAUGGUUGUCAUGUGGAGUGGGGCUUAUUGAUAGACAGACAGAGACGAGUUGGACACUGACCGAAGCA